RNAcentral lists this ribosomal RNA (468 nucleotides) under uncultured bacterium. RNAcentral describes it as "partial 16S ribosomal RNA". It matches the Rfam family "Bacterial small subunit ribosomal RNA", at positions 28 to 507 of the family's 1533-position model. The record is from RNAcentral.
GACGAACGCUGGCGGCGUGCUUAACACAUGCAAGUCGAACGGAAAGACCCUGCUUUUGUGGGGUGCUCGAGUGGCGAACGGGUGAGUAACACGUGAGUAACCUGCCCUUGACUUUGGGAUAACUUCAGGAAACUGGGGCUAUUACCGGAUAGGAGCUCCUGCUGCAGGGUGGGGGUUGGAAAGUUUCGGCGGUGGGGGAUGGACUCGCGGCUUAUCCGCUUGUUGGGGGGGUAGUGGCUUACCAAGGUUUUGACGGGUAGCCGGCCUGAGAGGGUGACCGGCCACAUUGGGACUGAGGUGCGGCCCAGACUCCUACGGGAGGCAGCAGUGGGGAAUAUUGCACAAUGGGCGGAAGCCUGAUGCAGCAACGCCGCGUGCGGGAUGACGGCCUUCGGGUUGUAAACCGCUUUCGCCUGUGACGAAGCGUGAGUGACGGUAAUGGGUAAAGAAGCACCGGCUAACUACGUG